This 692-nucleotide long non-coding RNA is filed under the name Pongo abelii (Sumatran orangutan). RNAcentral describes it as "lincRNA". Lineage: Eukaryota; Metazoa; Chordata; Mammalia; Primates; Hominidae. The record is from RNAcentral.
AUGGUGCAUGCGUGACCUAAGCUGCGAUUAUGUUGUUCGAGUAGAACUGCGGAGAAGCCUCGGCUCUCGUGCCCUGCCUCUGAUGAAGCCUGUGUUGGUAUGGUGCUGGGUGCAGAUGCAAUGUGGCUCUGGAUAGCACCUUAUGGACAGUUGUGUCCCAAAGGAAGGAUGAGAAUAGCUACUGAAGUCCUAAAGAGCAAGCCUAACUCAAGCCAUUGGCACACCGGCAUUAGACAGAAAACUGGAAGUUGAAAUGGUGGAGUCCAACUUGUCUGGACCAGCUUAAUGGUUCUGCUCCUGGUAACGUUUUUAUCCACGGAUGGCUUGCUUGGGUAAGGACGUGAAGACAGUUCCUGUCAUACCUUUUUUAAAGGUAUGGAGAGUCGGCUUGACUACACUGUGUGGAGCAAGUUUUAAAGAAGCAAAGGACUCAGAAUUCAUGCUUGAAGAAAUGCAGGCAGACCUGUUAUCCUAAACUAGGGUUUUUAAUGACCACGACAAGCAAGCAUGCAGCUUACUGCUUGAAAGGGUCUUGCCUCACCCAAGCUGGAGUGCAGUGGCCUCUGAAGCUUACUACAGCCUCAAACUUCUGGGCUCAAGUGAUCCUCAGCCUCCCAAUGGUCUUUGUAGACUGCCUGAUGGAGUCUCAUGGCACAAGAAGAUUAAAACAAUGCUCCAAUUUUAAUAAAUUU